Molecule: ribosomal RNA, 325 nt
Filed under: uncultured bacterium
Lineage: Bacteria
Description: bacterial SSU rRNA
Rfam family: Bacterial small subunit ribosomal RNA
Source: RNAcentral
UGUGAAAGCCCCGGGCUCAACCUGGGAACUGCAUUUGAUACUGCCUCACUAGAGUAUGGUAGAGGGAGGCGGAAUUCCAGGUGUAGCGGUGAAAUGCGUAGAUAUCUGGAGGAACAUCAGUGGCGAAGGCGGCUUCCUGGACCAAUACUGACACUGAGGUGCGAAAGCGUGGGUAGCAAACAGGAUUAGAUACCCUGGUAGUCCACGCCGUAAACGAUGUCAACUAGCCGUUGGAUCCAUUUAAGGGUUUAGUGGCGCACCUAACGCGAUAAGUCGACCGCCUGGGGAGUACGGCCGCAAGGUUAAAACUCAAAGGAAUUGACGG